This 2204-nucleotide ribosomal RNA is filed under the name mixed sample. RNAcentral describes it as "bacterial LSU rRNA". It matches the Rfam family "Bacterial large subunit ribosomal RNA", at positions 296 to 2492 of the family's 2925-position model. The record is from RNAcentral.
AGCCCAGAGCCUGAAUCAGUGUGUGUGUUAGUGGAAGCGUCUGGAAAGGCGCGCGAUACAGGGUGACAGCCCCGUACACAAAAAUGCACAUAUUGUGAGCUCGAUGAGUAGGGCGGGACACGUGGUAUCCUGUCUGAAUAUGGGGGGACCAUCCUCCAAGGCUAAAUACUCCUGACUGACCGAUAGUGAACCAGUACCGUGAGGGAAAGGCGAAAAGAACCCCGGCGAGGGGAGUGAAAAAGAACCUGAAACCGUGUACGUACAAGCAGUGGGAGCCUCUUUUAUGGGGUGACUGCGUACCUUUUGUAUAAUGGGUCAGCGACUUAUAUUCUGUAGCAAGGUUAACCGAAUAGGGGAGCCGAAGGGAAACCGAGUCUUAACUGGGCGUUAAGUUGCAGGGUAUAGACCCGAAACCCGGUGAUCUAGCCAUGGGCAGGUUGAAGGUUGGGUAACACUAACUGGAGGACCGAACCGACUAAUGUUGAAAAAUUAGCGGAUGACUUGUGGCUGGGGGUGAAAGGCCAAUCAAACCGGGAGAUAGCUGGUUCUCCCCGAAAGCUAUUUAGGUAGCGCCUCGUGAAUUCAUCUCCGGGGGUAGAGCACUGUUUCGGCAAGGGGGUCAUCCCGACUUACCAACCCGAUGCAAACUGCGAAUACCGGAGAAUGUUAUCACGGGAGACACACGGCGGGUGCUAACGUCCGUCGUGAAGAGGGAAACAACCCAGACCGCCAGCUAAGGUCCCAAAGUCAUGGUUAAGUGGGAAACGAUGUGGGAAGGCCCAGACAGCCAGGAUGUUGGCUUAGAAGCAGCCAUCAUUUAAAGAAAGCGUAAUAGCUCACUGGUCGAGUCGGCCUGCGCGGAAGAUGUAACGGGGCUAAACCAUGCACCGAAGCUGCGGCAGCGACGCUUAUGCGUUGUUGGGUAGGGGAGCGUUCUGUAAGCCUGUGAAGGUGUGCUGUGAGGCAUGCUGGAGGUAUCAGAAGUGCGAAUGCUGACAUAAGUAACGAUAAAGCGGGUGAAAAGCCCGCUCGCCGGAAGACCAAGGGUUCCUGUCCAACGUUAAUCGGGGCAGGGUGAGUCGACCCCUAAGGCGAGGCCGAAAGGCGUAGUCGAUGGGAAACAGGUUAAUAUUCCUGUACUUGGUGUUACUGCGAAGGGGGGACGGAGAAGGCUAUGUUGGCCGGGCGACGGUUGUCCCGGUUUAAGCGUGUAGGCUGGUUUUCCAGGCAAAUCCGGAAAAUCAAGGCUGAGGCGUGAUGACGAGGCACUACGGUGCUGAAGCAACAAAUGCCCUGCUUCCAGGAAAAGCCUCUAAGCAUCAGGUAACAUCAAAUCGUACCCCAAACCGACACAGGUGGUCAGGUAGAGAAUACCAAGGCGCUUGAGAGAACUCGGGUGAAGGAACUAGGCAAAAUGGUGCCGUAACUUCGGGAGAAGGCACGCUGAUAUGUAGGUGAAGUCCCUCGCGGAUGGAGCUGAAAUCAGUCGAAGAUACCAGCUGGCUGCAACUGUUUAUUAAAAACACAGCACUGUGCAAACACGAAAGUGGACGUAUACGGUGUGACGCCUGCCCGGUGCCGGAAGGUUAAUUGAUGGGGUUAGCGGUAACGCGAAGCUCUUGAUCGAAGCCCCGGUAAACGGCGGCCGUAACAAUAACGGUCCUAAGGUAGCGAAAUUCCUUGUCGGGUAAGUUCCGACCUGCACGAAUGGCGUAAUGAUGGCCAGGCUGUCUCCACCCGAGACUCAGUGAAAUUGAACUCGCUGUGAAGAUGCAGUGUACCCGCGGCAAGACGGAAAGACCCCGUGAACCUUUACUAUAGCUUGACACUGAACAUUGAGCCUUGAUGUGUAGGAUAGGUGGGAGGCUUUGAAGCGUGGACGCCAGUCUGCGUGGAGCCAACCUUGAAAUACCACCCUGGCAACUUUGAGGUUCUAACUCAGGUCCGUUAUCCGGAUCGAGGACAGUGUAUGGUGGGUAGUUUGACUGGGGCGGUCUCCUCCUAAAGAGUAACGGAGGAGUACGAAGGUGCGCUCAGACCGGUCGGAAAUCGGUCGUAGAGUAUAAAGGCAAAAGCGCGCUUAACUGCGAGACCCACAAGUCGAGCAGGUACGAAAGUAGGUCUUAGUGAUCCGGUGGUUCUGUAUGGAAGGGCCAUCGCUCAACGGAUAAAAGGUACUCUGGGGAUAACAGGCUGAUACCGCC